AGAAAACUUUUUAAAGAGGACCUUUCACCUGGAUAUCCUUAAUCUAAUUAUUAUCCUACCUUAUAGUGCAGCCCCCACUGAUGUCUU
Bufo bufo (common toad) is the source of this 87-nucleotide long non-coding RNA. RefSeq lists it as uncharacterized. The record is from RefSeq and is a predicted model, not a curated record. NCBI's taxonomy places the organism in Eukaryota, Metazoa, Chordata, Amphibia, Anura, Bufonidae. The transcript has 3 exons.